UUUUAUGGAGAGUUUGAUCCUGGCUCAGGAUGAACGCUGGCGGCGUGCCUAAUACAUGCAAGUCGAGCGAACGGACGAGAAGCUUGCUUCUCUGAUGUUAGCGGCGGACGGGGGAGUAACACGUGGAUAACCUACCUAUAAGACUGGGAUAACUUCGGGAAACCGGAGCUAAUACCGGAUAAUAUUUUGAACCGCAUGGUUCAAAAGUGAAAGACGGUCUUGCUGUCACUUAUAGAUGGAUCCGCGCUGCAUUAGCUAGUUGGUAAGGUAACGGCUUACCAAGGCAACGAUGCAUAGCCGACCUGAGAGGGUGAUCGGCCACACUGGAACUGAGACACGGUCCAGACUCCUACGGGAGGCAGCAGUAGGGAAUCUUCCGCAAUGGGCGAAAGCCUGACGGAGCAACGCCGCGUGAGUGAUGAAGGUCUUCGGAUCGUAAAACUCUGUUAUUAGGGAAGAACAUAUGUGUAAGUAACUGUGCACAUCUUGACGGUACCUAAUCAGAAAGCCACGGCUAACUACGUGCCAGCAGCCGCGGUAAUACGUAGGUGGCAAGCGUUAUCCGGAAUUAUUGGGCGUAAAGCGCGCGUAGGCGGUUUUUUAAGUCUGAUGUGAAAGCCCACGGCUCAACCGUGGAGGGUCAUUGGAAACUGGAAAACUUGAGUGCAGAAGAGGAAAGUGGAAUUCCAUGUGUAGCGGUGAAAUGCGCAGAGAUAUGGAGGAACACCAGUGGCGAAGGCGACUUUCUGGUCUGUAACUGACGCUGAUGUGCGAAAGCGUGGGGAUCAAACAGGAUUAGAUACCCUGGUAGUCCACGCCGUAAACGAUGAGUGCUAAGUGUUAGGGGGUUUCCGCCCCUUAGUGCUGCAGCUAACGCAUUAAGCACUCCGCCUGGGGAGUACGACCGCAAGGUUGAAACUCAAAGGAAUUGACGGGGACCCGCACAAGCGGUGGAGCAUGUGGUUUAAUUCGAAGCAACGCGAAGAACCUUACCAAAUCUUGACAUCCUUUGACAACUCUAGAGAUAGAGCCUUCCCCUUCGGGGGACAAAGUGACAGGUGGUGCAUGGUUGUCGUCAGCUCGUGUCGUGAGAUGUUGGGUUAAGUCCCGCAACGAGCGCAACCCUUAAGCUUAGUUGCCAUCAUUAAGUUGGGCACUCUAAGUUGACUGCCGGUGACAAACCGGAGGAAGGUGGGGAUGACGUCAAAUCAUCAUGCCCCUUAUGAUUUGGGCUACACACGUGCUACAAUGGACAAUACAAAGGGCAGCGAAACCGCGAGGUCAAGCAAAUCCCAUAAAGUUGUUCUCAGUUCGGAUUGUAGUCUGCAACUCGACUACAUGAAGCUGGAAUCGCUAGUAAUCGUAGAUCAGCAUGCUACGGUGAAUACGUUCCCGGGUCUUGUACACACCGCCCGUCACACCACGAGAGUUUGUAACACCCGAAGCCGGUGGAGUAACCUUUUAGGAGCUAGCCGUCGAAGGUGGGACAAAUGAUUGGGGUGAAGUCGUAACAAGGUAGCCGUAUCGGAAGGUGCGGCUGGAUCACCUCCUUUCUAA
This 1557-nucleotide ribosomal RNA is filed under the name Staphylococcus aureus. RNAcentral's name for it is "16S ribosomal RNA". It matches the Rfam family "Bacterial small subunit ribosomal RNA". The record is from RNAcentral. Lineage: Bacteria; Bacillati; Bacillota; Bacilli; Caryophanales; Staphylococcaceae.